This 269-nucleotide ribosomal RNA is filed under the name uncultured bacterium. Its description in RNAcentral is "partial 16S ribosomal RNA". The record is from RNAcentral.
CUGCUGCCUCCCGUAGGAGUUUGGGCCGUGUCUCAGUCCCAAUGUGGCCGUCCACCCUCUCAGGCCGGCUACUGAUCGUCGCCUUGGUGGACCGUUACCCCGCCAACAAGCUAAUCAGACGCGGGUCCAUCUUACACCACCGGAGUUUUUCACACAAAUCCAUGCGGCUUCGUGCGCUUAUGCGGUAUUAGCACCUAUUUCUAAGUGUUAUCCCCCAGUGUAAGGCAGGUUACCCACGCGUUACUCACCCGUCCGCCACUAAGAUUUUA